CCUACGGGUGGCUGCAGUGGGGAAUAUUGGACAAUGGGCGAAAGCCUGAUCCAGCAACGCCGCGUGAGGGAUGACGGCCUUCGGGUUGUAAACCUCUUUCAGCGCAGACGAAGCGAAAGUGACGGUAUGCGCAGAAGAAGCACCGGCCAACUACGUGCCAGCAGCCGCGGUAAUACGUAGGGUGCGAGCGUUGUCCGGAAUUAUUGGGCGUAAAGGGCUCGUAGGCGGUUUGUUGCGUCGGGAGUGAAAACUCAGGGCUUAACCCUGAGCCUGCU
RNAcentral lists this ribosomal RNA (275 nucleotides) under uncultured Marmoricola sp. RNAcentral's name for it is "partial 16S ribosomal RNA". It matches the Rfam family "Bacterial small subunit ribosomal RNA", at positions 338 to 625 of the family's 1533-position model. The record is from RNAcentral. Lineage: Bacteria; Bacillati; Actinomycetota; Actinomycetes; Propionibacteriales; Nocardioidaceae.